GCAGACAAGCGAAGAGGGAUAUUCAAGAAUCCUAAUGCAGAUAUCAGAGAAAAUGCGUUUUGUGUUAUUGGGAGAUUAAAGCGUGAUAAGACUUUAUUUUAUAAUGCCAGAGACGUGCAGUUUUACUUAUUUUGUUUUAAGCCGGCCAAUGUUUUAUAUUAUAUAAGCAAUUCUGCUAGGCGGGGGCUAGCAUAUAGGUGCGAGGCCGAGCAAUCUGUAAGACAUAGGGUUUUGAUUAAUUAUAUAUUGUUCGUGCAUUCUCUGUAACCUGUGGAAUGUGGAGGACAGUGCAGAGUAACGACCUGAGGGUAGCUGAUCAAUGAGUUUCUAGGGGAUGGCGUGAGAUAAAAGUGCUUAGUUCAGGAAGUCAAUGUACGACAGUUUAUGAACUCUUCCCAAAGUGCCUUUGUGAAACUAGAUGCAGCUAGAACCGCGAGGCGCUAGCGAACUGUGUGUUCGUAUGUGCGUGUGCGCCUCUUUCUGUUAAAAGCGUUCAUACCCAAGCCUAUGAGAGGGAUUUUGACAGAGGGCUUCGAGUCAUAGGCAAAGAUGCCGUGGCAUUCGCCGGGGGAGUUUUUUGACAUAGUGUUUAGUGCCCGGUUGGGAAUGGAUGGUUCUGGAUUUCUGUGGGACAGAGUUCCCAGGGAAAGGUGUGACCUUUUGGGUGACUUGACAAUGAGUUGUUUUAAGUUAGUCUGUAAGACUGGAUUACUUAGUUAACCGACUUAGUUGUUAUUGUAAAUAAACGUUAUGUUAUGA
Macrobrachium nipponense is the source of this 759-nucleotide long non-coding RNA. RefSeq lists it as uncharacterized. The record is from RefSeq and is a predicted model, not a curated record. Lineage: Eukaryota; Metazoa; Arthropoda; Malacostraca; Decapoda; Palaemonidae. The transcript is spliced from 2 exons.